UUUAUUACGUUGAAGAGAAGAGUAGAUUUAGGAAGUAGUUAUAGCGAGUGGGUGAUGGUGUAAGUCCCAUAACGAGACCUAUAUUGAAGAACAUCUCUGAGUUUCUAACCGAAAUCUUUUUAGAGAGUAGACUUAGACGGAGUCAAACCGUUAUAUUUUGAACAGUAUUACUUGUACUGAUUAGAGUGGUCAUAAAUUUUUAUGACAAUUUGGGUGGUAACGCGAAUUUUACCCUUCGUCCCAUUA
Molecule: non-coding RNA, 246 nt
Filed under: Clostridium cavendishii
Lineage: Bacteria; Bacillati; Bacillota; Clostridia; Eubacteriales; Clostridiaceae
Description: T-box sequence
Rfam family: T-box leader
About the family: Uncharged tRNA acts as the effector for transcription antitermination of genes in the T-box leader family.
Source: RNAcentral